Molecule: ribosomal RNA, 237 nt
Filed under: Lepiota humei
Lineage: Eukaryota; Fungi; Basidiomycota; Agaricomycetes; Agaricales; Agaricaceae
Also listed under: 1 other name
Description: 5.8S ribosomal RNA
Rfam family: 5.8S ribosomal RNA (bases 1-127)
About the family: 5.8S ribosomal RNA (5.8S rRNA) is a component of the large subunit of the eukaryotic ribosome. It is transcribed by RNA polymerase I as part of the 45S precursor that also contains 18S and 28S rRNA. Functionally, it is thought that 5.8S rRNA may be involved in ribosome translocation.
Source: RNAcentral
UCGCAUCGAUGAAGAACGCAGCGAAAUGCGAUAAGUAAUGUGAAUUGCAGAAUUCAGUGAAUCAUCGAAUCUUUGAACGCACCUUGCGCUCCUUGGUAUUCCGAGGAGCAUGCCUGUUUGAGUGUCAUUAAUUUCUCAACUCCUCCAACUUUUACAGCUGGCUUUGGAGCUUGGAUGUGGAGGUUUUGCUGGCUCUACUCUUUUGUGAGUCGUCAGCUCCUCUCAAAUGCAUUAGCG